GGAAACUGGCAAAGGUUGACGGGAAAGAUGCCCGAGCAGGGAUGACAUUGGAACGACAAUGUAGGGCUC
This is a long non-coding RNA of Amblyraja radiata (thorny skate), 69 nucleotides long. RefSeq lists it as uncharacterized. The record is from RefSeq and is a predicted model, not a curated record. Lineage: Eukaryota; Metazoa; Chordata; Chondrichthyes; Rajiformes; Rajidae. The transcript is spliced from 3 exons.